GUAAGCCGGUGGGUGGGUUUCCGGGCACCUGGGUUUAAUCCAGGUGUCUGGAGGAAACUCCUCCACGCAGGUGGAGCCGCACCACGGCGACGUGGGGGGCGAGAGCCUCGGCUCCGGCGCAGAAAAGACACCUCCCCCCGGCGGGUGUGGAUGAUAUGCGGUUCAACCGCUGACGAUGCCGGGGUGUGAGGGUGAAACUGCCGACCUGCGGGCGUCAAGGCGAAUGGGGCCUAUGAGCCUCCACCCGAGGCUCCGGUAUGCCGCGUCAGUCGGAUCCCACCUAAAACAGAAGGAGGGUUACGGCCGGCAUAC
This is a non-coding RNA of Candidatus Bathyarchaeota archaeon B24, 312 nucleotides long. NCBI's taxonomy places the organism in Archaea, Thermoproteati, Candidatus Bathyarchaeota. The record is from Rfam.